Molecule: small nucleolar RNA, 78 nt
Filed under: Marchantia polymorpha subsp. ruderalis
Lineage: Eukaryota; Viridiplantae; Streptophyta; Marchantiopsida; Marchantiales; Marchantiaceae
Source: RNAcentral
CUCCGUGGUGGAAAACCGGAGAUGAUGCUGACUGUGCUGAAAAAGAAGAGGCAAAGGGUCUCGCAGAACUGCCAGAGU